AGCGAACGCUGGCGGCAGGCUUAACACAUGCAAGUCGAGCGGGCGUAGCAAUACGUCAGCGGCAGACGGGUGAGUAACGCGUGGGAACGUACCUUUUGGUUCGGAACAACACAGGGGAAACUUGUGCUAAUACCGGAUAAGCCCUUACGGGGAAAGAUUUAUCGCCGAAAGAUCGGCCCGCGUCUGAUUAGCUAGUUGGUGUGGUAACGGCGCACCAAGGCGACGAUCAGUAGCNGGUCUGAGAGGAUGAUCAGCCACAUUGGGACUGAGACACGG
Molecule: ribosomal RNA, 276 nt
Filed under: uncultured bacterium
Lineage: Bacteria
Description: partial 16S ribosomal RNA
Rfam family: Bacterial small subunit ribosomal RNA
Source: RNAcentral